GUUCUGGCUUCGGCAGCACAUAAACUAAAAUUAGAACGAUAGAAGAUUAGCAUGGUCCCUGUGCAAGGAUGACAUGCAAAUUCGCGAAGAGUUCCAUAUUAAA
This is a small nuclear RNA of Pipistrellus kuhlii (Kuhl's pipistrelle), 103 nucleotides long. The record is from RefSeq and is a predicted model, not a curated record. Lineage: Eukaryota; Metazoa; Chordata; Mammalia; Chiroptera; Vespertilionidae.